AGGAAGAACAUUCUGUCUACAUG
RNAcentral lists this microRNA (23 nucleotides) under Lottia gigantea (owl limpet). RNAcentral's name for it is "Lgi-Mir-1994-P2_5p* (star (passenger))". The record is from RNAcentral. Lineage: Eukaryota; Metazoa; Mollusca; Gastropoda; Lottiidae.